RNAcentral lists this ribosomal RNA (497 nucleotides) under uncultured bacterium. RNAcentral describes it as "partial 16S ribosomal RNA". It matches the Rfam family "Bacterial small subunit ribosomal RNA", at positions 28 to 507 of the family's 1533-position model. The record is from RNAcentral.
GAUGAACGCUGGCGGCGUGCCUAAUACAUGCAAGUCGAGCGAACAGACGAGGAGCUUGCUCCUCUGACGUUAGCGGCGGACGGGUGAGUAACACGUGGAUAACCUACCUAUAAGACUGGGAUAACUUCGGGAAACCGGAGCUAAUACCGGAUAAUAUAUUGAACCGCAUGGUUCAAUAGUGAAAGACGGUUUUGCUGUCACUUAUAGAUGGAUCCGCGCCGCAUUAGCUAGUUGGUAAGGUAACGGCUUACCAAGGCAACGAUGCGUAGCCGACCUGAGAGGGUGAUCGGCCACACUGGAACUGAGACACGGUCCAGACUCCUACGGGAGGCAGCAGUGGGGAAUCUUCCGCAAAGGGCGAAAGCCUGACGGAGCAACGCCGCGUGGGUGAUGAAGGUCUUCGGAUCGUAAAACUCUUUUAUUAGGGAAGAACAAAUGUGUAAGUAACUAUGCACGUCUUGACGGUACCUAAUCAGAAAGCCACGGCUAACUACGUG